AAGUCGUAACAAGGUUUCCGUAGGUGAACCUGCGGAAGGAUCAUUACUGAAUUGUCAACAAGAGUUGUUGCUGGUCCUCAAAUGGGGGCAUGUGCACGCUCUGUUCACACAUCCACUCACACCCUGUGCACCCUCUGUAGUUCUGUGGUCGGGAGGCCUGUCCUCCUGCUGUGGUUCUGCAUCUUUACACACACACUGUAACAAAGUCUUAUGGAAUGCAUGCCGCGUUUAACGCAAUACAAUACAACUUUCAGCAACGGAUCUCUUGGCUCUCGCAUCGAUGAAGAACGCAGCGAAAUGCGAUAAGUAAUGUGAAUUGCAGAAUUCAGUGAAUCAUCGAAUCUUUGAACGCACCUUGCGCCCUUUGGCCAUUCCGAAGGGCAUGCCUGUUUGAGUAUCAUGAACACCUCAACUCUUCAUGGUUUUCCAUGAUGAGCUUGGACUUUGGGGGUCUUGCUGGCCUACGGUCGGCUCCUCUAAAAUAAAUCAGCUUGCCAGUGUUUGGUGGGUAUCGCAGGUGUGAUAACUAUCUACGCUUGUGGUUUUCCACCGAGUAACCUUCAGCAGUGGAGGUUCACUGGAGCUCACAGAUGUGUCUCUCCUCAGUGAGGACAGCUCUUUGAAUGUUUGAUCUCAAAUCAGGUAGGACUACCGCUGAACUUUAGCAUAUCAAUAAGCGGAGGAAAGAAACUAACAAGGAUUCCCCUAGUAACUGCGAGUGAAGCGGAAAGAGCUCAAAUUUAAAAUCUGGCGUGCCUCUGGUCGUCCGAGUUGUAUUCUGAAGAAGCGUUUUCCGUGUUGGACCGUGUACAAAGUCUCUUGGAACAGGGCGUCAAUANAGGGUGAAAAAUCCCGUCUUUGACACGGACUACCAAAUGCUUUGUGAUGCGCUCUCAAAAGAGUCGAGUUGUUUGGNGAAUGCAGCUCAAAAAUGGGUGGUAAAUUCCAUCUAAAAGCUAAAUAUAGGCGNGGAGACCGGAUAGCGAACAAAGUACCGUGNGGAAAAGANGAAAAAGCACUUUGNAAAGAAAAGUUAAACAGUACGUAAAAUUGCUGAAAAGAAAAACGCUUAAAUUAANUCACUUCUGCCGGGAACUCAGCCUCGUUUCUGCUUGGUGCACUUUCGGUUUUGGGGGGCCCAACAAAAAUUUUUGGCCCGCGGAAAAAAAGUUUUNAAAAAUGGGCCCCUUGGGGGGUGUUUAAAAGCUUUUUGUCGUAUGCAACGGUNGGGAUUGAGGNCCGCAGCACGCCUUCAUG
This 1257-nucleotide ribosomal RNA is filed under the name uncultured fungus. RNAcentral describes it as "eukaryotic LSU rRNA". The stretch from base 629 to 1257 matches the Rfam family "Eukaryotic large subunit ribosomal RNA", at positions 1 to 612 of the family's 3401-position model. The record is from RNAcentral. Lineage: Eukaryota; Fungi.